RNAcentral lists this ribosomal RNA (497 nucleotides) under uncultured bacterium. Its description in RNAcentral is "partial 16S ribosomal RNA". It matches the Rfam family "Bacterial small subunit ribosomal RNA", at positions 28 to 507 of the family's 1533-position model. The record is from RNAcentral.
GAUGAACGCUGGCGGCGUGCCUAAUACAUGCAAGUCGAGCGAACGGACGAUUAUCUUGCUUUUCUGAUUUUUUCGGCUGACGUGUGUUUAACACGUGUCUAACCUACCUUUUAUACUUGUAUAACUUCUGGAAACCGUAUCUAAUACCGUAUAAUAUUUUGAACCGCAUUGUUCAAAAGUUAUAUACGUUCUUUCUUUCACUUAUAGAUGGAUCCGCGCUGCAUUAGCUAGUUGGUAAGGUAACGGCUUACCAAGGCAACGAUGCAUAGCCGACCUGAGAGGGUGAUCGGCCACACGGGAAGUGAGACACGGUCAAGAGUCCUACGGGAGGAAGCAGUAGGGAAUAUUACGCAAUGGGCGAAAGGAUGACGGAGCAAAGCCGCGUGAGUGAUGAAGGUCUUCGGAUCGUAAAACUAUGUUAUUAGGGAAGAACAAAUGUGUAAGAAAAUGAGCACAUAGUGACGGUAACUAAAAAGAAAGCAACGGCUAACUACGUG